This 460-nucleotide ribosomal RNA is filed under the name uncultured bacterium. RNAcentral describes it as "partial 16S ribosomal RNA". It matches the Rfam family "Bacterial small subunit ribosomal RNA", at positions 338 to 795 of the family's 1533-position model. The record is from RNAcentral.
CCUACGGGUGGCAGCAGUGAGGAAUAUUGGUCAAUGGACGAGAGUCUGAACCAGCCAAGUAGCGUGAAGGAUGACUGCCCUAUGGGUUGUAAACUUCUUUUAUAUGGGAAUAAAAUGUUCCACGUGUGGGAUUUUGUACGUACCAUAUGAAUAAGGAUCGGCUAACUCCGUGCCAGCAGCCGCGGUAAUACGGAGGAUCCGAGCGUUAUCCGGAUUUAUUGGGUUUAAAGGGAGCGUAGGUGGAUUGUUAAGUCAGUUGUGAAAGUUUGCGGCUCAACCGUAAAAUUGCAGUUGAAACUGGCAGUCUUGAGUACAGUAGAGGUGGGCGGAAUUCGUGGUGUAGCGGUGAAAUGCUUAGAUAUCACGAAGAACUCCGAUUGCGAAGGCAGUUCACUGGACUGCAACUGACACUGAGGCUCGAAAGUGUGGGUAUCAAACAGGAUUAGAUACCCUAGUAGUC